CAAUAGCGUAUAUUAAAGUUGUUGCAGUUAAAAAGCUCGUAGUUGGAUUUCUGGUGGGAGCGAUCGGUCUGGCGCUUAGCGCGAGUACUUGCAUCGUCUCCGGCCAUCCUUGGGGAGAUUCUGUCUGGCAUUAAGUUGUCGGGCAGAGGAUCCUCAUCGUUUACUGUGAAAAAAUUAGAGUGUUCAAAGCAGGCUUAUGCCGUUGAAUAUAUUAGCAUGGAAUAAUAAGAUAGGACUUUGGUACUAUUUUGUUGGUUUGCGCACCAAAGUAAUGAUUAAUAGGGACAGUUGGGGGUAUUCGUAUUCCGUUGUCAGAGGUGAAAUUCUUGGAUUUACGGAAGACGAACUACUGCGAAAGCAUUUACCAAGGAUGUUUUCAUUAA
RNAcentral lists this ribosomal RNA (383 nucleotides) under uncultured eukaryote. RNAcentral's name for it is "partial 18S ribosomal RNA". It matches the Rfam family "Eukaryotic small subunit ribosomal RNA", at positions 592 to 976 of the family's 1831-position model. The record is from RNAcentral.